UACGGGGGGGCAAGCGUUGUUCGGAAUUACUGGGCGUAAAGGGCGCGUAGGCGGCCUGCUAAGUCGGACGUGAAAUCCCCCGGCUCAACCGGGGAACUGCGUCCGAUACUGGUGGGCUCGAAUCCGGGAGAGGGAUGUGGAAUUCCAGGUGUAGCGGUGAAAUGCGUAGAUAUCUGGAGGAACACCGGUGGCGAAGGCGGCAUCCUGGACCGGCAUUGACGCUGAGGCGCGAAAGCCAGGGGAGCAAACGGG
This 252-nucleotide ribosomal RNA is filed under the name uncultured bacterium. Its description in RNAcentral is "partial 16S ribosomal RNA". It matches the Rfam family "Bacterial small subunit ribosomal RNA", at positions 524 to 776 of the family's 1533-position model. The record is from RNAcentral.